UUUAAAUAGAAAAUGUUAAACUAAUUUCCACAGUGGCUUCAUGUGUUCAAAUCCCCAUCAACUGCGAACCAUCUAGCUUCGUGAGUUUUGCUGUCAACAACUAGAGGGUACACGAAUCUCUCGGUAAUUACAGAGCUAGCCUCCUGAACGACUUCCAUGAUUAAAAAAUUUCAUCAUCAAAGGUACCCUAAGAAGCAAGAAGUUCAGCUAUAUGGUGGAUCAAGACAAUUAUUAAACUCAGGAAAGAAUGAAAUUAA
RNAcentral lists this long non-coding RNA (257 nucleotides) under Rattus norvegicus (Norway rat). RNAcentral describes it as "long non-coding RNA NONRATT014190". Lineage: Eukaryota; Metazoa; Chordata; Mammalia; Rodentia; Muridae. The record is from RNAcentral.